Molecule: ribosomal RNA, 274 nt
Filed under: uncultured bacterium
Lineage: Bacteria
Description: partial 16S ribosomal RNA
Rfam family: Bacterial small subunit ribosomal RNA
Source: RNAcentral
AUACGGAGGGUGCAAGCGUUACUCGGAAUCACUGGGCGUAAAGCGCACGCAGGCGGUCUUUUAAGUUGGAUGUGAAAGCCUACGGCUCAACCGUAGAACUGCAUCCAAAACUAUUAGACUAGAGUGUGGGAGAGGAAGAUGGAAUUAGUUGUGUAGGGGUAAAAUCCGUAGAGAUAACUAGGAAUACCAAAAGCGAAGGCAAUCUUCUGGAACACUACUGACGCUGAGGCGCGAAAGCGUGGGGAGCAAACAGGAUUAGAUACCCUUGUAGUCC